CAACCAGGAUUACAUAAAACCAGAAAUUAAGAUUGGUCACAGUAAAAGGGAAAACACUUAUGGAUAUGGAGAUGCCACAAAAUUAGAGUAUUUGGGAUCGAAACCAUCACCUCACCUGCCUGGACUCACAAUGAGCAAUACUCUGGGAUCUUUUGAUAUUUGUGGAUUGCAUGUUACUGAAAGCCAAUUUACCUAAUUCUGAAUAAUACCAAUGCUUAUUUCGAGAAAAUUUCAGCCUUGGAACUACACGCAUCGACCUGCUUUCCUCUGACUUCAAUCUGAGAAACACUGUUCUUAAAUAUAAAAGGUAACAGAUCACCCU
Molecule: long non-coding RNA, 322 nt
Filed under: Pan troglodytes (chimpanzee)
Lineage: Eukaryota; Metazoa; Chordata; Mammalia; Primates; Hominidae
Description: long non-coding RNA NONPTRT011996
Source: RNAcentral